RNAcentral lists this long non-coding RNA (757 nucleotides) under Pongo abelii (Sumatran orangutan). RNAcentral describes it as "lincRNA". Lineage: Eukaryota; Metazoa; Chordata; Mammalia; Primates; Hominidae. The record is from RNAcentral.
GUUAAGAGGGCAGAUCAAAGACACUUGAAGACACAUGAGGACUAAGGAAGUUUACUUCCUAUAGACUCCUUGUGGUAAUGUUCCUGGAAAAAAAAACAGCAAUAGAGGAUGUGCAGCAGUAAAACAAAGGAGAAACCAAGAAUGAGAAAAGCAUGGAAUUUUUGUCAGCUUAUAAGUUAGCUUGCAAAUUCACUUUUAAUUGAUACAACCUUUCACCUCAGAGCUGCUUCUUGUAACACAGAAGUUUUCAGAUUCUAUGAAAAGGUAUUGAGUGAAUUGAAGGCUCUGUUAAGGGGGCAACUAUCUCCCCUCCCCAUUCUCCUAUCAGCCCAUAAAACAAGAACUGACAACCUCUUGGAAGAAUUGGGAAGAAACUUUUCGAUUUUCUCUGUACAAUCUUCACUGGUUCCUCUCUGAGAGGAGGAGGGACCUCUUAGGUUGGUGUCGUUGGGAAAAGGAUAUCAAGUGUGCAUGGCUCAGCCUGUUCCUGGCUCAGCCUGUUCCUGGCUCUCUCUCUGGGACUGACCUGACUGCAAGCAGCAUGUUCUCUCUCUGCUCCUGCCUCCUCCAGGCAAUGAGCACCAGGGCGGGUCCAGCCCUUGCUUGGGAGGACUUCAAUAGUCCAGCUGCUCUGCCACGAGUGGGUGAGUGAGUUCAAGUCAGAGGAGAAGACACAGAAAGCUCAUUUGGGCCUUGGGUCUUAGCCACAUCCUCCAGUCCAUCUGGACUAGCAAUAAAGCUGACAUUUUAAUCCCUA